UACGGAGGGUGCAAGCGUUGUUCGGAAUCAUUGGGCGUAAAGCGCGUGUAGGCGGCUUGGUAAGUCGGUUGUGAAAGCCCGGGGCCCAACCCCGGAAUUGCAGCCGAAACUGCCUCGCUAGAGUCCCGGAGAGGAAGGCAGAAUUCCCGGUGUAGGGGUGAAAUCCGUAGAUAUCGGGAGGAAUACCGGCGGCGAAGGCGGCCUUCUGGACGGUGACUGACGCUGAGACGCGAAAGCGUGGGGAGCAAACAGG
RNAcentral lists this ribosomal RNA (253 nucleotides) under uncultured bacterium. RNAcentral's name for it is "partial 16S ribosomal RNA". It matches the Rfam family "Bacterial small subunit ribosomal RNA", at positions 524 to 776 of the family's 1533-position model. The record is from RNAcentral.